AUGUGGAGGCUAUAUACAGGGGGUACCGGUACAGAGUCAAUGUGGAGGCUAUAUACAGGGGGGUACUGGUAUAGAGUCAAUGUGGAGGCUAUAUACAGGGGUACCGGUACCGAGUCAAUGUGGAGGCUAUAUACAGGGGGUACCAGUACAGAGUCAAUGUGGAGGCUAUAUACAGGGGGUACUGGUACAGAGUCAAUGUGGAGGCUAUAUACAGGGGGUACCGGUACAGAGUCAAUGUGGAGACUAUAUACAGGGGGUACCGGUACAGAGUCAAUGUGGAGGCUAUAUACAGAGGGUACCGGUACAGAGUCAAUGUGGAGACUAUAUACAGGGGGUACCGGUACAGAGUCAAUGUGGAGGCUAUAUACAGGGGGUACCGGUACAGAGUCAAUGUGGAGGCUAUAUACAGGGGGUACCGGCACAGAGUCAAUGUGGAGGCUAUAUACAGGGGGUACCAGUACAGAGUCAAUGUGGAGGCUAUAUACAGGGGGGUACCGGUACAGAGUCAAUGUGGAGGCUAUAUACAGGGGGUACCGGUACAGAGUCAAUGUGGAGACUAUAUACAGGGGGUACCGGUACAGAGUCAAUGUGGAGGCUAUAUACAGGGGUACCAGUACAGAGUCAAUGUGGAGACUAUAUACAGGGGGUACCGGUACAGAGUCAAUGUGGAGGCUAUAUACAGGGGGUACCGGUACAGAGUCAAUGUGGAGGCUAUAUACAGGGGGUACUGGCACAGAGUCAAUGUGGAGGCUAUAUACAGGGGGGUACCGGUACAGAGUCAAUGUGGAGGCUAUAUACAGGGGGGUACUGGUACAGAGUCAAUGUGGAGGCUAUAUACAAGGGGGUACUGGUACAGAGUCAAUGUGGAGGCUAUAUACAGGGGGUACCGGUACAGAGUCAAUGUGGAGACUAUAUACAGGGUGUUACGGUACAGAGUCGAUGUGGAGGCUAUAUACAGGGGGUACCGGUGCAGAGUCAAUGUGGAGGCUAUAUACAGGGGGUACCGGUACAGAGUCAAUGUGGAGGCUAUAUACAGGGGGUACCGGUACAGAGUCAAUGUGGAGGCUAUAUACAGGGGGUACUGGUACAAAGUCAAUGUGGAGGCUAUAUACAGGGGGGUACUGGUAUAGAGUCAAUGUGGAGGCUAUAUACAGGGGGUACUGGUACAGAGUCAAUGUGGAGGCUAUAUACAGGGUGUUACGGUACAGAGUCAAUGUGGAGGCUAUAUACAGAGGGUACUGGUACAGAGUCAAUGUGGAGGCUAUAUACAGGGGGUACCGGUACAGAGUCAAUGUGGAGGCUAUAUACAGGGGGUACCGGUACAGAGUCAACGUGGAGGCUAUAUACAGGGGGUACCGGUACAGAGUCAAUGUGCGGGGGCACCGGUUAGUUGAG
RNAcentral lists this long non-coding RNA (1395 nucleotides) under Salmo trutta (river trout). RNAcentral describes it as "lncRNA (ENSSTUG00000015015.1)". Lineage: Eukaryota; Metazoa; Chordata; Actinopteri; Salmoniformes; Salmonidae. The record is from RNAcentral.